RNAcentral lists this ribosomal RNA (253 nucleotides) under uncultured bacterium. RNAcentral describes it as "partial 16S ribosomal RNA". It matches the Rfam family "Bacterial small subunit ribosomal RNA", at positions 524 to 776 of the family's 1533-position model. The record is from RNAcentral.
UACGGAGGGUGCAAGCGUUAUCCGGAUUUACUGGGUUUAAAGGGUGUGUAGGCGGGUCUAUAAGUCAGUGGUGAGAUCUCCGGGCUCAACCCGGAAACUGCCAUUGAUACUAUAGGUCUUGAAUAUUGUGGAGGUGGGCGGAAUGUGUCAUGUAGCGGUGAAAUGCUUAGAGAUGACACAGAACACCGAUUGCGAAGGCAGCCCACUACGCAACUAUUGACGCUGAGGCACGAAAGCGUGGGGAUCAAACAGG